UACGAAGGGUGCAAGCGUUACUCGGAAUUACUGGGCGUAAAGCGUGCGCAGGCGGUUUGUUAAGUCCGUUGUGAAAGCCCCGAGCUCAACUUGGGAAUUGCAGUGGAUACUGGCAGGCUGGAGUACGGUAGAGGAAGGUGGAAUUCCCGGUGUAGCAGUGAAAUGCGUAGAUAUCGGGAGGAACACCAGUGGCGAAGGCGGCCUUCUGGACCAGUACUGACGCUCAUACACGAAAGCGUGGGGAGCAAACAGG
RNAcentral lists this ribosomal RNA (253 nucleotides) under uncultured bacterium. Its description in RNAcentral is "partial 16S ribosomal RNA". It matches the Rfam family "Bacterial small subunit ribosomal RNA", at positions 524 to 776 of the family's 1533-position model. The record is from RNAcentral.